RNAcentral lists this ribosomal RNA (374 nucleotides) under uncultured prokaryote. Its description in RNAcentral is "bacterial SSU rRNA". It matches the Rfam family "Bacterial small subunit ribosomal RNA", at positions 524 to 896 of the family's 1533-position model. The record is from RNAcentral.
UACAGAGAGUGCGAGCGUUAGUCGGAAUUAUUGGGCGUAAAGGGUGUGUAGGUGGCUAAAUAAGUUGGAUGUGAAAGCCCUAGGCUUAACCUAGGAAUUGCGUUUAAUACUAUUUGGCUAGAGUAUUGUAGGGGAAAGUAGAAUUUCCGGUGUAGCGGUGAAAUGCGUAGAUAUCGGAAGGAAUACCAGAGGCGAAGGCGACUUUCUGGACAAUUACUGACACUGAAACACGAAAGCGUGGGGAGCAAACAGGAUUAGAUACCCUGGUAGUCCACGCCGUAAACGAUGAAAACUUGCUGUCAGAUAUGUAAAUAUGUUUGGUGGCGUAGCUAACGCGUUAAGUUUUCCGCCUGGGGAGUACGAUCGCAAGGUUA